RNAcentral lists this ribosomal RNA (484 nucleotides) under uncultured bacterium. RNAcentral describes it as "partial 16S ribosomal RNA". It matches the Rfam family "Bacterial small subunit ribosomal RNA", at positions 28 to 523 of the family's 1533-position model. The record is from RNAcentral.
GACGAACGCUGGCGGCGUGCUUAACACAUGCAAGUCGAACGAUGAACCCGGAGCUUGCUCCGGUGGAUUAGUGGCGAACGGGUGAGUAACACGAGAGUAACCUGCCCUUGACUCUGGGAUAACUGCGGGAAACUGUAGCUAAUACCGGAUACGACCCUCGGCGGCAUCGCCAGGGGGUGGAAAGAACUUCGGUCAAGGAUGGACUCGCGGCCUAUCAGCUAGUUGGUGAGGUAACGGCUCACCAAGGCGACGACGGGUAGCCGGCCUGAGAGGGUGACCGGCCACACUGGGACUGAGACACGGCCCAGACUCCUACGGGAGGCAGCAGUGGGGAAUAUUGCACAAUGGGCGCAAGCCUGAUGCAGCAACGCCGCGUGAGGGAUGACGGCCUUCGGGUUGUAAACCUCUUUUAGUAGGGAAGAAGCGAAAGUGACGGUACCUGCAGAAAAAGCACCGGCUAACUACGUGCCAGCAGCCGCAGUAA